Long non-coding RNA from Salvia hispanica, 1084 nucleotides. RefSeq lists it as uncharacterized. Lineage: Eukaryota; Viridiplantae; Streptophyta; Magnoliopsida; Lamiales; Lamiaceae. The record is from RefSeq and is a predicted model, not a curated record.
GCCUACACUCUACUCCCAAAGCAAGCAUCAUCCUUCGAGUUUCAAUUACUCAUUCAUGACUUUGGAAUUCAGUACUGUAAAUUCGCAAGGGGAAAAUGAUGUCCAUAGAUUUGAUUUUGAAGCCGUCGUGCGGUGCCUGUGGAUCGCCGACGGAGCUCUACGGCAGCACCUGCAAGCACCUCCCUCUGCCUUAGCUGCGGUAAAUCUAUGGCCGAGAAACGUUCCAAGUGCCACGGUGCGGCACCCCUAUCACACGCCUCAUUAGGGAAUAUAUUGUACAUGCCAGUGCUAGCAACGACAAAAAUUUCUUUAUUGCGAGAUUUGCCUCGGGAUUACCAAAUAUUAAAAGGAAGAAUGAGAAUAAAUGGUUGUUGCAGAAAGAAGGUUUGCAGGGGCGCCAACUGACUGAUAGUUUGAGGGAGAAGUUUAAGAAUAAACCUUGGCUACUGGAAGAUGAAACUGGCCAGUUUCAGUUCCAUGGUCACCUUGAGGGCACACAGACAGCCACAUAUUAUCUUCUAAUGCUUCAAGGAAAGGAAUUUGUUGCUAUUCCUACUGGUUCCUGGUACAAUUUUAACAAAAAGUGGCACAAUAAAAGCAACUCACUUUGGAGGAAGCUGACGAAAAGAUGAACAAUAGAAGGAAAACAGCUGAUGGCUACCAGAGAUGGAUGAUGAAAGCAGCAAACAAUGGAGCUGCAGCCUUUGGUGAAGUCGAGAAGUUUGACAAUUGGGAAGGUGCAGCUGGUGGUGGGAGGGGGCGCAAAAAAACUACAGGGGAUAACGAUGAUGCCAAUGCUUCAAAUAGAGGAGAAGAAGAUGAAGAUGAAGCUACAAAAUGUCGGCCCAUUUCAAGCCCAAUCUAGGCCCGAAUUCUAAAAAACUUAGCUAAAGCUACAUAUUCCCCAAGAACUCUAUCAUCAACUCUGUGCUCCAACAACUCUGGCACGACCAACAACAUAAAUGUAAUCACAUUAAAUACAAAUACCAAAGGCCCAACUACUCUUUGAGGCAGUCUCAAUGCAGUACUCCCUUCGUCCCACAGAAGAUGUCACACUUUCCUUUUUAGUUUGUUCCACAAAAGA